Long non-coding RNA from Zophobas morio, 381 nucleotides. RefSeq lists it as uncharacterized. The transcript has 5 exons. The record is from RefSeq and is a predicted model, not a curated record. NCBI's taxonomy places the organism in Eukaryota, Metazoa, Arthropoda, Insecta, Coleoptera, Tenebrionidae.
GCUCUAGCAGCUAACUUGAUUGGUAAGGGGGUGGAGAAGCUUAAGCAACUUGAAUAUUUGGAUAUCCCUGAAGUUCGUGAUGCUCUUGACGCUAUAAAGGAACUGAGUGACUCUGCGCUAGCACCGGAUAAGAAGGGCACCAAUACAGUGGAUAACGCCGUGUCCAAAAUGGUAUCAACGGGACCAAUUAACGACGAAGGAAAUUCUUUUAAUGAGCACUAUACGAACUACGAAAAUAAUUAUCUAAUGGAAAAUUUUCCUGACAUUUAUGAACUAUUUCAAUACGUUCCAGCUGAAACAUAUGAGUAUUCUACCCCGGAGAGUGAACAAAUUUUCGAUACGGAUCUAGCUGAAAAUUUGCAGGUUCACGGCGCAGAAGUC